Molecule: long non-coding RNA, 633 nt
Organism: Erpetoichthys calabaricus (reedfish)
Lineage: Eukaryota; Metazoa; Chordata; Cladistia; Polypteriformes; Polypteridae
Exons: 3
Source: RefSeq, a predicted model, not a curated record
ACAGGCAGUUAAAAGGAGGGCAGAGGGCAAAGAGAAAAAAAGUUAGUUUUGUUUUGGUGUGUUGCGGUUAUUUGUCGUCUCUGCCUGCUGUUAUUGGAACUCUAAUCAUUUUGUCUUGGACUGUAUUCGUUUGUUGGGGUCUGGAUUGUCUGUCUACCUGUACACUGAGAACUGUGUUGGAUUAUUUGGUUUUCCGGAAGAGUGGAGCGCUCCUGAAUCAACCAUCAACAUCAUCAGUAACUACCGCUCAGAGAAACCACCCAUGGAGGGCAAAUCAGCCACGCCCCAAUGCAAGCAAGGGUCGUGGUGGCAGCAGGCCAAUGCAGGUCAACCUAAGACUUCCAUGUCCCCAGUCUACAGAUUCCAGCACUUUCUGGUGAAUUCCCAGGCAGCCAACCGAGACAUAUAAUUCCUGAGGUGGGUCCUAGUUGUACUGCUGGGUCUCUGAGGUGGGAGCUGAUGGAGGACAUUCUUCUUCAACUGGCUCUCCUCAAUCUGAAGGAGCAGCGACUCUACUCUGAGGUGUUCCCAAAUGGUUGAUCUUCUCACUCCAUCACAGAGUAUCAGAGCAGCCACCUUUGUGAAGAAACCUCACAUCUUUCACUUGUACUUGUGAUCUCAUUCUUUUGGUCA